GCCUGGCAUGGUGGCGCAUGCCUGUAGUCCCAGCUACUUGGGAGGCUGAGGUAAGAGGAUCACUUGAGCCUGGGAGGCGGAGGUUGCAGUGAGCCAAGAUUGUGCCACUGCACUUCAGCCUGAGCGACAGAGUGAGACCUUGUUUCAA
Molecule: non-coding RNA, 148 nt
Filed under: Chlorocebus sabaeus (green monkey)
Lineage: Eukaryota; Metazoa; Chordata; Mammalia; Primates; Cercopithecidae
Source: Rfam by way of RNAcentral